CAAAUGGCUCAUUAAAUCAGCUAUGAUUUAUUUGGUGAUAUUCCAUGAAAUGGAUAACUGUGGUAAUUCUAGAGCUAAUACAUGCCUCGAAGCCACGACCUCACGGAAUGGCGCAAUUAUUAGGUCAAAAUCAACCGGACUUCGGUCUGUUCCUUUUGACGACUCUGGAUAAUCCAAAUAGCCACAGUUUAUCGUACGGCCUUGUGUCGACGAUAUUCCAUUCAAAUAACUGCCCUAUCAACAGGUUGGAACCACAUUGUGGUACCGCUGUUAUCACGGGUAACGGGGAAUCUGGGUUCGAUUCCGGAGAGGGAGCCUGAGAAAUAGCUACCACAUCCAAGGAAGGCAGCAGGCGCGCAAAUUACCCACUCCCAGAUCGGGGAGGUAGUGACGAAAAAU
This 399-nucleotide ribosomal RNA is filed under the name Xenotoplana sp. 214385975. RNAcentral's name for it is "SSU rRNA". It matches the Rfam family "Eukaryotic small subunit ribosomal RNA", at positions 90 to 478 of the family's 1831-position model. Lineage: Eukaryota; Metazoa; Platyhelminthes; Proseriata; Otoplanidae. The record is from RNAcentral.